Molecule: ribosomal RNA, 1141 nt
Filed under: Listeria monocytogenes
Lineage: Bacteria; Bacillati; Bacillota; Bacilli; Caryophanales; Listeriaceae
Description: partial 23S ribosomal RNA
Rfam family: Bacterial large subunit ribosomal RNA
Source: RNAcentral
CCUGAGUAGCGGCGAGCGAAACGGAAAGAGCCCAAACCAAGAAGCUUGCUUCUUGGGGUUGUAGGACACUCUAUACGGAGUUACAAAAGAAAGUUAUAAAUGAAGCGGUCUGGAAAGGCCCGCCAAAGACGGUAACAGCCCGGUAGUUGAAAUGGCUUUCCCUCCAGAGUGGAUCCUGAGUACGGCGGAACACGUGAAAUUCCGUCGGAAUCCGGGAGGACCAUCUCCCAAGGCUAAAUACUCCCUAGUGACCGAUAGUGAACCAGUACCGUGAGGGAAAGGUGAAAAGCACCCCGGAAGGGGAGUGAAACAGUUCCUGAAACCGUGUGCCUACAAGUAGUUAGAGCCCGUUAAUGGGUGAUAGCGUGCCUUUUGUAGAAUGAACCGGCGAGUUACGAUUUGUUGCAAGGUUAAGCGGAAAAAGCGGAGCCGUAGCGAAAGCGAGUCUGAAUAGGGCGCAUAAGUAACAGGUCGUAGACCCGAAACCAGGUGAUCUACCCAUGUCCAGGAUGAAGGUAAGGUAAUACUUACUGGAGGUCCGAACCCACGCACGUUGAAAAGUGCGGGGAUGAGGUGUGGGUAGCGGAGAAAUUCCAAUCGAACUUGGAGAUAGCUGGUUCUCUCCGAAAUAGCUUUAGGGCUAGCCUCGAGGUAAAGAGUCAUGGAGGUAGAGCACUGUUUGGACUAGGGGCCCUUCUCGGGUUACCGAAUUCAGAUAAACUCCGAAUGCCAUGUACUUAUACUCGGGAGUCAGACUGCGAGUGAUAAGAUCCGUAGUCGAAAGGGAAACAGCCCAGACCACCAGUUAAGGUCCCCAAAUAUAUGUUAAGUGGAAAAGGAUGUGGGGUUGCUUAGACAACCAGGAUGUUGGCUUAGAAGCAGCCACCAUUGAAAGAGUGCGUAAUAGCUCACUGGUCGAGUGACCCCGCGCCGAAAAUGUACCGGGGCUAAACAUAUUACCGAAACUGUGGAUGAACCUCUUUAGAGGUUCGUGGUAGGAGAGCGUUCUAAGGGCGGUGAAGUCAGACCGGAAGGACUGGUGGAGCGCUUAGAAGUGAGAAUGCCGGUAUGAGUAGCGAAAGAAGGGUGAGAAUCCCUUCCACCGAAUAUCUAAGGUUUCCUGAGGAAGGCUCGUCCGCUC